CGUUCUCCUUUUGUCUUCGUCGACCUCAGCUGCUGGGAUACUGCAACCGCGGUGCCGCAAGAUCUCCUACCCGCGGCCGUUUCGUGCGCCAUGGAAGGAUUUGGUUGACGCGUGCUGGGUUUUUUCCAGGGUGUGCUGGUUUCUUUUUGGGAAUUUCAUCUCCUGUUCUUCUGUCCCGAUUCUCUGUCUCCUUCGCAAGCAGCUCUUCAUCGCACCGAUCUGGAUUGCCAGUCCCUGCUUCACUCGCCCGUGGUUCGUGAGAUUGGUUCCGUCCGUAUUGUUGUCCGUCCAUCGUAUGUAGUUUCACCGCCCGUGUAUAUCGUUCGCUCUUUCUGCCGAGGUUGUGUUUGUAUUCGUCUUCUGUCUCCUCACGUUCCCGGAGCACUGCACGCCGGCGCGAACGAGCUUCAGGUAUUGUUGCUCUGUUCCGUGGUGCGUGUCUUCACAACAGCUUCAAGCAAACAACCCUCGUGAGCUGGCCGGUCUUCCGAUGUAUUACGUAUCCAAUAUUUUGUAUAAAAUAUUGAGGCACCCAAAUAUUAGGAGCCAAAGUGGAGCAAUUUUCUAGGCCAUGCUGAAAAUUCAUUGGAGUCCAGCUGUUAUACUGAAAGGUUACUAUCCCUUCAAGCUCUGCUUUCUGCUUCUGCCCCUGAUGAUUCUCAGGCUGCUGUUGUUGCACACGACUUGUCUAAGUUGGAUCUUUGCUAUUUAGUUCCAUGUUUUAACUGAUCACUACCUAAUUUUUCCAUGGGAGCUACUAUGCAUUGGGUGUUAAAUUGAUAUUUCCUCUUCGUGGGCUAAUAUCUUUUUCCUGAAGUUCAGUUAUGUACUUGGGCAGAAAUGCCACAUAAUACCUAUGGUACAAUAGCACAAAAGUGUUGGAGAGUCCGCCCCUUAGCAUGCCAUCGAUCUGCCAUAAUUUCUGAAUAAUUUAAGGUAUAUGUUUCAGUGUCUACAAAUCCAUAGCAAGCAUGCUCUCUCUCCGUGUUGUUUUUUUCAUAGAAAUUUCAAAACAGUGACCUGUAGCGUUUAGAUAUACAUAAACGACAAUAUUUGUCCUGUGUGAUCAUUUGUGUGUAGUCUUAGUUUUAUUGAUGGAUGGUUUAUGGGUUUGCUCUAGCACUUUCAUUUGGUGCAGUACCAGGAGAAAAGGAACCCAGUGAAGCACAUGCGAGUAUGCUUGCCCUAUCCCAGAGCGCUCCACGAUAGCCAGGUAGAGAUCGUUGAUUGGGCAAAGGAAGUGAGGGUAAAUAUUUGGAAUGCAUAUUAGAACUUGAUGAGCUCAAGCUACCUACAUAGUAUUACAGUAUUGCUCAUAGCCUCUCGCUUCCAUUUAGUUACUGGAGUACUGAGGUUGUACCUAAAGAUGGUCUAUAAUCUGGUUUGCGCCACCUUUUGUUCUAUUAUACUGCAAUAAAAGCUUGUUGCCCUUUUCCCUGUCUAUGCUAUGAUUUUGUAUCUAAACCUUUUAUAUUGUAAAUGUUACAUUGGUACUGCCUGCUAAAAAAACGUUUACACUAUUUCCUAUUCUCCAGGUCUGUUCAUCAAUCUCUUGGCAUGAACUAUUUGAUUGCUUCUUCGUAUCUGCCAUAGGAGUAACCUAGGUCAACAUACAUAAAUAGCAUGUGUUCUGCACUUUUAUGUGGAGCCUUUCUCAUGUUGUUCUCUAUCUUGUUGUAUAUAUAAAAUGUUCUCUGUGUUUCACUGCCUGAGGAUUCUCUUCAUGUUGUUCCUUUGGUUGCUCUACAUAAUUAAAUGUUAUUGAAUACAACAGUUCUGGUGUCUAUGUUGGACUUGCGUGAAUUAUGUGUAAUUUAACUCACUCCAGCUAUAUGAAAGAUAUGUUUGUAUCUUCUACUGGUGUUGAUUUAUCUUAGUGCUAAUACAAGCAGAUAUUUUAUCCUUGUAAAUGCACUUAUAACAUUGAAAGAAGAGAAGAAACAUAAGAUAGUUUCACGUGUACAAAUACCAUGA
This is a long non-coding RNA of Lolium rigidum, 1974 nucleotides long. RefSeq lists it as uncharacterized. The transcript has 4 exons. NCBI's taxonomy places the organism in Eukaryota, Viridiplantae, Streptophyta, Magnoliopsida, Poales, Poaceae. The record is from RefSeq and is a predicted model, not a curated record.